This is a non-coding RNA of Pelodiscus sinensis (Chinese soft-shelled turtle), 264 nucleotides long. The record is from RefSeq and is a predicted model, not a curated record. NCBI's taxonomy places the organism in Eukaryota, Metazoa, Chordata, Testudines, Trionychidae.
CAGGACCCUGGCAGCUGAGGUGGCCUGGGGAUGGUUCUUCCCCCCUUCCCACAUCCCAAGGUUCUGCCCUGAAGGACCCGGGCAAUGUAUGUCUGCUGGUAUGAUAUAAAAAUUAGCUACAAAUCUACAACAUUCUAAGCGUAAGAACAAAUCCAAAAAAGAUCACUGAUAAGCGACCUGUACAGCAUGUUCAUCAAUGUAACUGAAAGACAAAUGUUCCAGCUUCUUAACUCUUUCCAGUGUGAAUGAAAUGAAAUAAAAAAU